UACAGCUGUGCCCCGCCCGGCUCCGCGCCGUGCGGCCGCGCUCCCACCGCCUGCCCGCCUGUCUCCUGCGGUCCGUGCUGCUUCUUCCCGGCCUCCGGCUGCCCUCACGUACCAGCUGCUGGUUGGAAACCGGUAUCGCGAGACUACGUUAUGAGUGAGUUUGAUAGGAGUCACCAUGGUGAGGAAAGGAAUAAUGGAUUUUCAGUCAUGGCUUCCUUCUUCCCCCGGAGAGCAAUGAGUCUGUUUCCCUUUUUCAAUAACAGCUUUAUUACAGCAUGUUAAAGGGAAACAAGAAGAUGAACAGACCGGGCCUGGCUGUGCAGCGAUCGGUCUUCUGAGGAGCCUGUGUGAGGAGAUACUGGUCUGGGAGUCAAUCUGAGGAAAAGCAGAAGAUAUUUGCUUUAUAUCUGAAGUAUUAUUCAAGGGAGUUCACUCCAGAAGACAAGAGAACUUUUGGUACAUAAUGAAUAUAAAGCUCUAAGACUUGGUGCUGAAGGAAACUUCUCUCAGAAGUGUGCAUUUAUUGUUUGAUACCUUUUGUGAUACGUGCUGCUUCAUCUACCAUCUCGGGCAUUAGCCAGCCCUGUGUUUCAGGCUGUACCGGAUGGCAGUACUUCUUUGUUUUUGUAAUGUAUGUCUCCUUUACUGAGAAAGAAGAUGGAAGAUUGGCUUUGACAUCAUGUUGCUGCACUGUAAAUUUUACUAGUAGAGUAAGGUGCAAAGAUAUCCUAAAUCCAUGUGAUGGCUCACACCAGACCUCUGUCAGAAGUUCUUUGAUUAGAUUUCCUAGGAAGUCAAAACACUGCACCAAAAUGGUAGCAGAAAGGACUGUGCAGUACUGGAAGAUAUCAUCCUGCCUGCUCACAGUGCUGACUGUGCUUCUGCUUUUUGAGAAAACAGGGAAAGAAAGAUGGAGAAAGAGGAGAUGAGAAGAUUUGGAUGGAAAAUAAUACAGUUUUCAUUGCAGACUUAGAAGGGUAUCUGCAAUCUUGUAGCAUCAUGAUUUGAGUGUUCAGAGAACCUCCAAAAUAAGACCUUAACAAAGGUUUUAUUUUGGAGAGAAUACAAAGCAGCUGACAGUAUUUUAACAAUUUUUACUGGACUUGCCUUUUCAGCCUCUUAAAAUUAAUUGAAGAGCCACAGACCAACCACAUUUAUAAAUAACAUAAUGCAGUUGGGGAUAAUGCAAAUGUCUUUAUAAAUAACACACUAUAGCUUAAAUCAUUAUUUUUAAUGCUGCUAUUUUUUGUUCCUAUAUGAACAGGUCUGUGCUGGUCUGCAUUAAUUAAAUUUAAGUAGGAUUUCUAAGGCCAGAUCAUCAUUAUUUCUGUGGACCUGAUUUAAGUCUGCAGUAAAACAUUUCUCCAUUUAGUCUGGUGCUUUUGUGUCAUAUUUCAUACACUAGUUGUCUCUUAAUUAAAUCCAUGAUGGCCCACCAACACAGACUAUUAAAAUAACUAUACUUUGCACUUGACAUAUUUAUGAGACAGAUUCAUAAGAGUAUAGACUGAUACUUGAACUACUCACUGAGAAAUGCUAAUAAGAUUAUGAUGAAGGUAAGAUUAGAACAUUUGUCUCCUUUUCUCUUCUCUCUUCUUUUUAGAAAUUUAUUUUUAUAACCACAGUUCACUACGUCUAUUUCGGGCUCUUUGAUGUUGUUGUAUAUACCAGCAAUUCUUUCUGUGUGUAUUUAUUAUGGCGAUGAGAAGCGGGAAACUAUUUAUUUAUACCACUUCAGGAAAGCACUUAAGUAUUGUGUCCUUGAAGUAUGACUAUGUGCAGAUAUCUGUAAAACCUUCGCAUGGGAUUGACGUGUUCAAGAUAUUGCAUAUUAAGAAAUAGGCAUCCUUUGAAAUUGGAUGAAUGUAAAAUAUUGAUUAUCACAAAGAGGUGCAUUGCUUUAUCUUUAUUGCCCUGUUCCUCGAGCUGUUCUGUUGUAGGGCCAGCAGGGUCUGAUCCUGCUGGGGAAGGAGACAGCGGUACUAUGCCUGUGGUCAUGUGCUGCAUACUGGCAUGCCAGGCAGGGUGUCCUAGCCCAGCUUCCAGGUGCACAGCACAACAUUUUUGCAUGGAUUGGUCUGUGCAGUUUACUCUAUGCCUUUUGACUGUCACUGCAGUGUUUGAAAUUGUUUGGAUGUAUGGCCUCAGCAAUUAGGAAAGAUGAGAAAAAGGAAAUCAUAUCCAUGAGUAUGACUUGAAGGGUUGCAUGGCAUUUGUUAAGAUUUGAUCUUUUUGUGUGCAUGAAUAUCUGGAAAUGGCAUUCCUUUUUGGAUCAUUUAUUGACAAAGUCACCGAUAUCAUUUGAUAUUUUUUAAAGAACGUGAAAGUAGUAGGUUCAAGGAAUUCCAUAUUUGAGAGCGAGGGCAAUAGAAGUGAUAAAGCUGCUACCUGGAUGGUCUAAAAUCAGCAAUGAUUUCUGUUGCUUUUCAAUUCCCCUCUUACGGACCUUCUUCUUUCUCUCCCUUUUUUCCAGUUAUAUCUUUCAUGGAAAGGCUCCUGUACAUCACUGAAUCCAAGUGUGGGCACAAUUGCAGAUGGCUGUAAAGACAUACAGUUUGAAGGAUAUUUAUAUUAUCAGUGUGGUGUAUAGAAACCCAAAUCUGCAUGAUGUUCUGAUUUCUUUGGUGAUACAUUACCAUGCUUCACACUGGUAUCUUCUUUGAAAUUAUUGUAAGCAUAAGAUAUUGAGAUUUCAUUUACAAAUAAAUACGAUAUUAGAAAGUAAGAAUAAUAAAGAUAUAUUAAAUAUUUCAUCUUCUAGAGAAAUAAACCAGCUACAGUUCAGGGAGCUUCACUAAACACAUUAAAUCUAAUAAAAUCGCCUACAUGUACUCCUGACACUAGUAGUAAUUAAAAUAACUUGUUUCAAAAAAUUGGUCCUAUACAUGAAUACUUAUUGGCAAUUAUUUCUAAGUUCUUCAAACCAAAGAUAACGUAAUUUGAUUCACACACAAUGUUCUUGUAAAUGUGGUUCAUAGUGGGUUUUAUAUGCAGCUUAGGACUGUUAAUUGCCAUUUUGAGCCUCACAGUAAAAUAGAGUUCAAUAUGUCGCUUUUUCUGAAGUAUUGAGAAAUGUUUGAGAAAUGCUUGUCUUAGUCUAAUCAACUGUGAAUAAUUUAUUUCUGAGUCCUACUUUUCAGUAUAAGUGGAUCUGACUUUUCUCGGAGCUUCUAAAAUCUAAUCAACUUGUUAUAUUCAUUUAAUUAGGAAAGUCUGUAACGAACUGUGAAGUGUAUGUACCAACAGGCUUUCUUGUUGUGUAAAAUGGGUGUAUUUUCCCUGUGAAUGCGAUUGCGUUUGUUUGUACUGACUGGUAGCCACUACUAAACAUACCAGGUUUUUAUGGAUACAUAUAGGUCAAUAUGCAUAGCACAUAGAUGUUUUCUGAGCUGCCUUUUCUCCUUAUGCUCGGACAAAAGGUCUUUGACCCUGGUCUAAAAUAUUGCCCGGUGCUUAUGGGAUGUAAUAUGAAAAUCAUCAAAACUGUCCUUGGCAGGAUGUUUCUUUCCAUUAGUUAAUUAAAGUGGUUUAUUAUUGCCUACAGCACGAUUGCUUUAUAUGUGG
Non-coding RNA from Meleagris gallopavo (turkey), 3564 nucleotides. The record is from RefSeq and is a predicted model, not a curated record. Lineage: Eukaryota; Metazoa; Chordata; Aves; Galliformes; Phasianidae.